Long non-coding RNA from Oncorhynchus kisutch (coho salmon), 544 nucleotides. RefSeq lists it as uncharacterized. The transcript is spliced from 3 exons. The record is from RefSeq and is a predicted model, not a curated record. Lineage: Eukaryota; Metazoa; Chordata; Actinopteri; Salmoniformes; Salmonidae.
GGUGUGUUGUGAUUGUCCCCGCUUGCAGAUAGGGCGAGAUCGCGAACAUCAGGUCUCCCCAGUAUGAAAAUGUGAUGCAAGGGAUUUUGCCAUCGACAGCCAUCAAUACCGUUAAGCCCUGCACAACUAACGUGCUGUUUCCCAUUUAACAACAGAAAUAAAUGCUCAACUGGGACCACUGGCCGAAGUGAUUUAUUUUGAGAAAACACAACUCAUGGAGAGUACAUUAUACAUCUGUUACAGACGCACGGCUCUUGACCUUCCUACGGGAGUUGCAGCGAUGGGACUAACUACCAAUUGGAUACCACAAAAUUGGGGAGAAAAAGGGCAACAACAAAAAAGAUAUAAUAAAAAAAUAACAACAAUCUAAAUGUUAUUUAUUUUCUAAAGUUAAUUAAUUGUUUCUGUAUUAUAAUGAUUGGACUAUCGAGAGAUUACCUACCUGUUAUAAUCAUGAAGAUGUGACUAGGACGAUAAUUAAAAUGACCUUGAACUGUGAAUCCUAGAAAAGUAUGAGUUGUUAAUAAAGCGCAUUAAACGAGAA